GGAAUAAACAAGAGACUCCAGUUGACCUUAAGCCUGCACUUCUGCUCUGAAGAGGUAAUGUUUGGAGAUCAAAGGGGAGAAAGGUUUUACCCAAAUUUUAACUAAGAUACCAAGGCGAUAAUUUUGACCACUUCAGAAGUUCAAAUGGACUCAACGGGAGGAAUAUUGAAGGAACAAUCAGAGUUAGUGAAAAAUAACCACUGAGGUAAGUGACAUGGGGGCUUGAUUUGAGAGGGAGUUCAGUGCCUCACU
RNAcentral lists this long non-coding RNA (252 nucleotides) under Dasypus novemcinctus (nine-banded armadillo). RNAcentral's name for it is "lncRNA (ENSDNOG00000051485.1)". The record is from RNAcentral. Lineage: Eukaryota; Metazoa; Chordata; Mammalia; Cingulata; Dasypodidae.